UUACUAAUGUUGUCUAUUUAUUCAUUAAUAAAAAGUGCAUAGUACAAGCCCUUUACCCCAAUCCAAGUACUCAAUAAAAGAUUAACAGGAAACCCUGGAUGGCACAGACAUGAUUUGUUUGGCAUAAUUUAGACAUUUUAAAUCAGCGAUUAACAUUUAGUACAUCACAUGACAACUUUUCCUUUAGUUUUUUUGUUUUUUAAACAAAGUGAUCUCCAAACAUAGUAACAAACACACAUAAUUCUUCAUUUAAGAAUAUAAUAUAUUAAGAGACUAAACCUACUACUGCAAUAACAAAGAUUUAAUCCAUUAACUGUAAACUCUCUCUUCAUUACUUUUUCAGGUUGCUGGAAUUCCAGCCUUAAGAGAAUUCAGCUGGCAAUGUUUUUAAAACAAAUCUGAUUAGUGAAAGACUUUCAAUAUUUAAUCUCUUCCAAGGUUCCUUCUAAAAUGUGAGCUAUAUAAAUUCCAUAUAAACACGAUGGUACACUUUCAAUUCACAAAUCACAAAAGACACUAAAAACAACCUUGUGAUAGACUGUCUCUGACGGUUUUUUCAGAGAAUUUUUGCAGGUUUAAAAAUGUGACUUGCUGAACAUGGGAUCAUGGCCUGGAACGUCAUAAAACUUUUGACUACAAAACAUUUCCAACUUAGUUUUUUCCCAUAUGUAAAGCCAAAAGCAUCGUUUUGAGUAAAUAAAACUAAUUAUGCGGUGACAAACAAAAUGACCUCUCAACAACACACUAUAUGCAGUGUUUAAGUGCCACUGGUGAUUUUAAAAGAUGUGGCUCUAAUCUUUUUCCCCCCAGAAUAUUCAAAAAAUAAAAGGACUGUAGUGAUGGUCUUGAGAGCUAAUGCUUAUAAGGCAAAUGACUUGCUAGUUUGUUCAACAAAAAGGCCUCAAUCAUGCAGAAGCAUUAAGGGUUACGUCUGUUGCGUUGUUUUCAGAAUAAAUAAUCUGUAUCUCUUGCCCUGACUUAGAAGCAACACAAUUAGUGUCAGUACUCUGAAGAUAAGAACUGCUGUGGUUAUUCUUUAGAUAAGCAACCUGAGACAAAGAAAAGGGGGGGAAAAGCAACUGGAGGCAGGCCGGAAGGUCUUAGAAUAAGACGGGAUCCCUCCUUUCCAGGGCCCAGGCUGACACUGGAUAAUGGUAUCUGACAGCGGCAGGCCUCCCGGCGCUCUGAGGGGGGAGCAGAUGAGGGGCACCAGGUCCCCACCGUUCAUCUCAACUGCCACUGCCCCACCUGAUUCUCUCUCUAAAAGUUGGGAAAGCAGAGUCUGAUUGUCCAGUGGAUCACAGCAGAGGGAAACCAUUGUUUUGGGGAAUUAAGAGUUCCUGGAAUAGGACACCCCUCUAUUAGCAGAAGUAAUUAAGAGCUGGUUGUAUUUCCCUAAGUUGGUCAGAAAACUAAGAUGUACAAAAAAGAAUUCAAGUUAGGAAUAUCAGAUUGUAUAUUUAAAAUUAUGACUUUACAGAGUAUAGAUGGCCUAGAAUUCAAUCUUUAAAAAAAAAAAAAAAUACUCCCUUAUGUGUCACAGGACUAUAUCAGAGACUAUAUUACACAGUACAAUGAUAUAGAGAAGUUUAUUCACCUUAUACAACAAGUGCAAGUCUAUACAACGAGAGGCUAUGCUGAUACUGCAUUUAUGAUGAAAAAAGUCUUAUAUUGGAUAGAAGUGUACAUUCCAGGUUCCCAUAAGUUGUUCUCACUUACUGAGAAAAAUUCAAUAACCGAGGCAGCCAUGUACACAUAUUCUUUAUAUUAUUCUCACUCAUUUUCCAAACUGACCAAGAAAAACAUAAAACUGUUUAUUUUUCUGUACAUUUCAAAAAUGCUCCUAAAUUAAUAUCCACAAAGCAUUCCUCCCAUUAGCUAAAAUAGGACUCACAAUCAGGGGAGAAAACAAGCAUCUCUCAUUCUUCUCCAUCUGCCAUAUCACCUUGGAAUCAACAAAGAAUUCAUAGAGGUUUGUUAAAAGGUUAGAAUGGCAACAAA
Molecule: long non-coding RNA, 2001 nt
Organism: Sarcophilus harrisii (Tasmanian devil)
Lineage: Eukaryota; Metazoa; Chordata; Mammalia; Dasyuromorphia; Dasyuridae
Source: Ensembl